GACGAACGCUGGCGGCGUGCCUAAUACAUGCAAGUUGAGCGCUGAAGGUUGGUACUUGUACCAACUGGAUGAGCAGCGAACGGGUGAGUAACGCGUGGGGAAUCUGCCUUUGAGCGGGGGACAACAUUUGGAAACGAAUGCUAAUACCGCAUAAAAACUUUAAACACAAGUUUUAAGUUUGAAAGAUGCAAUUGCAUCACUCAAAGAUGAUCCCGCGUUGUAUUAGCUAGUUGGUGAGGUAAAGGCUCACCAAGGCGAUGAUACAUAGCCGACCUGAGAGGGUGAUCGGCCACAUUGGGACUGAGACACGGCCCAAACUCCUACGGGAGGCAGCAGUAGGGAAUCUUCGGCAAUGGACGAAAGUCUGACCGGGCAACGCCGCGUGAGUGAAGAAGGUUUUCGGGUCGUAAAACUCUGUUGGUAGAGAAGAAAGUUGGUGAGAGUGGAAAGCUCAUCAAGUGACGGUAACUACCCAGAAAGGGACGGCUAACUACGUG
RNAcentral lists this ribosomal RNA (497 nucleotides) under uncultured bacterium. RNAcentral's name for it is "partial 16S ribosomal RNA". It matches the Rfam family "Bacterial small subunit ribosomal RNA", at positions 28 to 507 of the family's 1533-position model. The record is from RNAcentral.